UGGCGGCCUGGGCGGGAGCGCGCGGGCGGGGCCGGCCCCGCUGCCUGGAAUUAACCCCGCUGUGCUUGCUCGUCCCGCCUGCAGCCCUAGGCGGCGUCG
Cercocebus atys (sooty mangabey) is the source of this 99-nucleotide microRNA precursor. The record is from Ensembl. NCBI's taxonomy places the organism in Eukaryota, Metazoa, Chordata, Mammalia, Primates, Cercopithecidae.